Molecule: ribosomal RNA, 429 nt
Filed under: bacterium
Lineage: Bacteria
Description: partial 16S ribosomal RNA
Rfam family: Bacterial small subunit ribosomal RNA
Source: RNAcentral
UAGGGAAUCUUCGGCAAUGGGGGCAACCCUGACCGAGCAACGCCGCGUGAGUGAAGAAGGUUUUCGGAUCGUAAAGCUCUGUUGUAAGAGAAGAACGUGUGUGAGAGUGGAAAGUUCACACAGUGACGGUAACUUACCAGAAAGGGACGGCUAACUACGUGCCAGCAGCCGCGGUAAUAAGUAGGUCCUGAGCGUUGUCCGGAUUUAUUGGGCGUAAAGCGAGCGCAGGCGGUUUAAUAAGUCUGAAGUUAAAGGCAGUGGCUUAACCAUUGUUCGCUUUGGAAACUGUUAAGCUUGAGUGCAGAAGGGGAGAGUGGAAUUCCAUGUGUAGCGGUGAAAUGCGUAGAUAUAUGGAGGAACACCGGUGGCGAAAGCGGCUCUCUGGUCUGUAACUGACGCUGAGGCUCGAAAGCGUGGGGAGCAAACAGG